CCUGUGUUCAAUUUUUUUGCAUAGUUUUAUUGUUUGGGAAAUAGGGACAGUUGAGAAAGUUCAUAUCAAAAAUAAUCAUUGCCCCUUCACCUUCAGUGCUGAACCCAGAGAUUAGAGGAAACCAAGUUUCUGUACCAUCUGCUAAUUUAUAAAAACAUGAAGAAUCUGUUGGAAGUGACUUGAAUCUGUUAGUCUAAUAGUUGACAUUUUAUUCAGGAUAAUUACUCAUGAUUGCCAUUUAUUCUUUUCUAGCAAUUCGUCGUUACAAUGCCCAUGCCCAUAAUCUGUUGGUCUCUACCAUGCUCCCAUGAAUACAAUUGUCAAAUCUGUUCUUUAACAGCCAUUGAACCUGCUUCACCAUCAACCUGUUCCUCACUGUUUGAUCCACUCCCCUUCACCCAGAGUUGACGGGUUGGCUGCCAGGGUCUCUCAGGACAUACUCCUCAACACUUUCCAUCUGGGCCUCCUUUUCCAUAAUUCUCAUGGAAUUGAUGAGUCAAAGAUUGACGGAUCAACAGGCUGGACGUGCAUGUGUGAAUCCUACAGUUUGCUUUAUAAAGCUACAUGGAUAGAAAAAAGCAAGAUCGGAUCAUCACCUUUGGAGACAUUGAACACUAAAUGAAACCCUUCCUGGUAGAUGGAAACAGAAAAAGAAGGAAGCAAAUGUCCUGGUUGUAACCAAUCAGAGGAGCAGAAAUGGAAAUAGAAAAAGAAGGAAGCAAAUAUUCUGGUUGUAACCAAUCAGAGGAGCAGAAAUGAUCCCUAGGAGAAAGGGAGAGAGAUUUGGGGAGACCAAGUUGCAAUUUAAAAUACUUCAUUAACCAACUCAUUUUAAAGCUGAACAUUCUCUCAUAUACAUUUCCCUAAUUGUUAAGAGCACUCACUUAAAAUUGUUAAAGUGUAGCAUAUAUACAGAAACUUGCAUGGAUCUUUUUUUGGUGUGUAUCUUUGUG
Molecule: long non-coding RNA, 953 nt
Organism: Bos taurus (domestic cattle)
Lineage: Eukaryota; Metazoa; Chordata; Mammalia; Artiodactyla; Bovidae
Source: Ensembl